Molecule: long non-coding RNA, 1398 nt
Organism: Lactuca sativa (garden lettuce)
Lineage: Eukaryota; Viridiplantae; Streptophyta; Magnoliopsida; Asterales; Asteraceae
Source: RefSeq, a predicted model, not a curated record
UAAAAAACCGGAUCAUUUAAACCGAAAACCGGCAAAAUAACACCCCGGAAGGAAGUAGGGGCCAAAAUCAAACUCGACAACAAAAUUACGUGAAAAAACCUUAAUUUGCUUCAAAGUUUUAACUUUAUGAAAAUAGUAAAUAAAUGGUGAGAGUGGAUGACAGUUGCACUUGACUAUCUACUUUUUCAAUACUCACGCUAGGAGAGAGACAAAGCGCAUACUGCCAUCAAUCAUCUCUCCCGAAGAUCUUGAUGAGGAAGACUGUGUUGUUGAUCGGCGACGACGACUCAAAGACAACGAGUUGGGAGGUCCGGACACGACGAUGGCAAGAGCCGGAAAAAGGCAACAGUGGGCAAAAUUCAGCAGGGAAAGGGGAAGAAUUAACUAUUAAGUCACCGGUAGAAAGGAUGGCAAGUGGGAGGUGGCCGGGUGGGAGGAAGUCUUACCCCCCUCAACGGCCGGUGGUCUUUGUUUAUUAAGAAAGCAGGCUAUUGUAUUUAGUAAUAUUGACUAUAUUCUAUAAGUUAACUUUUCAAUGACAAUUAUUUAGUAAAAAACAGCCAACAAUAUCAAAUGUUAAAUGUAACUAUAACUAAUCAUCCUAAACCAUGCAAUCGAGAUAAGCACAAAAAUGUAGAAGAACGACAAGGGACUGAUUCGGAGUCUUUAUCUUCUUCUACACAACCUAGCUAGCAGCUAGGGUCAAAAGGUUUUACAAGCCGUCGGCGAAAGGCCGGAGAAGAUCGGAGAACGGCAGAACGGGCAAGAAGGCUGUUUCCGGUGAAGCAAUUGACCGACGCAGUCGGAGUGGAAGACGUGUCGACACCUGCUGAGCUGACAAACAACGUCAUCAAGAUGGUAAUCAGCAGAGCAUACGAAGCACAUCUCUUCCACGGAUCUCUGUCGCCUUUCCAGCAGAUCUUCGAACCUGAUAACCGGAAGAUCGACGAGACUUGGGUAUGGAGUAGAGUUUUCGCAUCGAAACAAGUAGAAGAAAAAGUCCUUGAUUAAACUGAGCAACUCGUGCUUGAUACGGAAGACUGGGAAGAGAAUACAGAGGUAGAAGAUGAAGUUCAUCAACAUAUUUGAUACGUCUUCUUUGGGUCUGCGAUUUUCUUUGUUGUGUUGAAAUUUGCGGAUGAAUCGAUGGGUUUAUAAGGAAAAGUGGGCCCUUGCCGGCGUGUCGAGAGACAUGCUUUCGUUUUCAUUAGUUAUAUAAAAUUAAGAAAUAAAAAAAUGAUUUUAUAUUUAAUAGUAAGGUUUUUAUUUGUCUCCAUAAAUCUGAUUGUCAUAAAUUAAGGUUUUCAUGUUCGUUCUUUAUUAAGGGUACCUACUUGGGUACGUGUUUGGAAUUGCUUACUUAAAACUGUUUAUUAGCACUUUUUCAAUUCUACAGAA